This 895-nucleotide unclassified non-coding RNA is filed under the name Hevea brasiliensis (rubber tree). The record is from RNAcentral. Lineage: Eukaryota; Viridiplantae; Streptophyta; Magnoliopsida; Malpighiales; Euphorbiaceae.
AAUAAAAAAAAUUAUCCACAAAUAAUCUCAAUGCAAUGAAAUUUAACAUAAAAAGACAAAUGCAUUGAGCUGGUAACAAGUAUCAUAUAAUUAAGCAAACAUGCAGAUGCUAAUAAUAGAACUUGUGUUGGCUUUGGUAGCACUAGCCACCAGCAUCAAUUCACGAAAUUAUAGUUGCCAAAUACUAGGGGUGAUAACCCACUACACUAAAGCUAGAUGGAUACAUAUUAAAAUUUCCACAAACUAUAAAAUAAAUUUUCAAGACUAACAUUUUUAGGUUAGAAAAAGUAAGGAAGCCUGCCUUGCUGGAAAACACACAAAAUAAAGGCAUUGGGUUUGAAGUUUCACUUCAAGAAGGAAAUGUUUUCUAGAUGUUUGAUAAGGAAAAGAAUUUACAUGGAGAACAAAAAUUGAUGAUUUUUGAAAGUCAGUGCAUAGUGCAUACCCUUUAGGGGCAAUUCAAACCAUCUACAAGAUCUUGAUUCUUGAAUAUAAAAGAUUAUGCUAUACAACAUUUCUAUUAUAUGCAGGAUCGAUGAUUAAUCCUAAGCAUUUAUAUCAUACAGUUUUGGACCAUGAGUCAAGCCAAGCAUCAAAAAUUUUCCAGCCCAUCCUGUGAUUUUUUUAAUUUUUUUUUUUUACGAGAAACACAAAUUUAUCAACAAAUGAGACAUCUAAAAAAUGCUUUUGUCAUGCUCCUAGGAGAUUUUUUUUUUCAUCGCAAAUUUGGUAUUAUGUUGCAAAAUUCCUACUGAUACAAAUUCAGUAGAUGGUUAUGAUUAUUGUGAGCAUCAUAACAAUUUCUUACAGUUCUACCUUCUAAUAGUUUGAAUUGCAACAUGUUAUCUUGAGGUGGUUACUUAAAAACAUAAAAUACACACCUAGGCCAAUGGCA